Ostrea edulis (European flat oyster) is the source of this 430-nucleotide long non-coding RNA. RefSeq lists it as uncharacterized. NCBI's taxonomy places the organism in Eukaryota, Metazoa, Mollusca, Bivalvia, Ostreida, Ostreidae. The record is from RefSeq and is a predicted model, not a curated record. The transcript is spliced from 2 exons.
CAUGCUUUACUUCAGAUAGAGCUUAGUCGCCACUAGAUAAUGUAUAAUCACAGCUGCUACUGUCCACGUUUGUGUUCAUAAUUAUAAAACAGGUAAUUGUGACAAAUGUCCCGCAGGAAUUCGCCAGUUCAAAGCACAAUCGUGAUUCCCAGUUAAACAGGGUUACGGAACAAGGCUGUGUAUGAAGAGUAGCUGUGCCAGAGGCCAUCAUUGACGUCAAACAGUGUGGAUGCCUUUAGAAAUAGACGAUAUUAAACUUCCUGUAAUUAAAAGUUUGGAAUGUUUUCAGUUGAUUGAGAAUCAUUUUAUUUUUAAAAUGCUGAAUUCUACCAAUACGAUUUUAUUUAUAUACUUCUAAAGAAUCCAAUUAUUAUUUUGACGCAAUAGAAAUGGUUUCUGUUUGUAAUGAGAAUAAAACAAUUAUAACAAA